UACGGAGGAUGCGAGCGUUAUCCGGAUCUAUUGGGUUUAAAGGGUGCGCAGGCGGCACGGCAAGCCGGCGGUCAAAUCGCGGGGCUCAACCCCGCCCAGCCGUCGGAACUGCCGGGCUAGAGUGGGCGAGAAGUGCGCGGAAUGCGUGGUGUAGCGGUGAAAUGCAUAGAUAUCACGCAGAACUCCGAUUGCGAAGGCAGCGCACCGGCGCCCUACUGACGCUCAGGCACGAAAGCGUGGGUAUCGAACAGG
This 252-nucleotide ribosomal RNA is filed under the name uncultured bacterium. RNAcentral's name for it is "partial 16S ribosomal RNA". It matches the Rfam family "Bacterial small subunit ribosomal RNA", at positions 524 to 776 of the family's 1533-position model. The record is from RNAcentral.